This 74-nucleotide transfer RNA is filed under the name Desulfitobacterium dichloroeliminans LMG P-21439. It matches the Rfam family "tRNA". Rfam says of the family: Transfer RNA (tRNA) molecules are approximately 80 nucleotides in length. Their secondary structure includes four short double-helical elements and three loops (D, anti-codon, and T loops). Further hydrogen bonds mediate the characteristic L-shaped molecular structure. tRNAs have two regions of fundamental functional importance: the anti-codon, which is responsible for specific mRNA codon recognition, and the 3' end, to which the tRNAs corresponding amino acid is attached (by aminoacyl-tRNA synthetases). tRNAs cope with the degeneracy of the genetic code in two manners: having more than one tRNA (with a specific anti-codon) for a particular amino acid; and 'wobble' base-pairing, i.e. permitting non-standard base-pairing at the 3rd anti-codon position. The record is from Rfam by way of RNAcentral. Lineage: Bacteria; Bacillati; Bacillota; Clostridia; Eubacteriales; Desulfitobacteriaceae.
CGGGGCGUAGCGCAGUUUGGUAGCGUGCUUGGUUCGGGACCAAGAGGCCGCAGGUUCAAAUCCUGUCGCCCCGA